GAUGAACGCUGGCGGCGUGCCUAAUACAUGCAAGUCGAGCGAACAGACGAGGAGCUUGUUCCUCUGACGUUAGCGGCGGACGGGUGAGUAACACGUGGAUAACCUACCUAUAAGACUGGGAUAACUUCGGGAAACCGGAGCUAAUACCGGAGAAUAUAUUGAACCGCAUGGUUCAAUAGUGAAAGACGGUUUUGCUGUCACGUAUAGCUGGAUCCGCGCCGCAUUAGAUAGUUGGUAAGGUAACGGCUUAUCAAGGCGACGAGGCGUAGACGACCUGAGGGAGGGGUAGGCCGCCUGAGAGGGGAGACGGGCACCAGACUCCUGCGAGACGGAGCAGAAGGGAAUCUGCGGCAAUGGGGGAGAGCCUGGCAGAGCAGGCGGGCGUCAGAUGUAAAGAUCUUCGGAUCGUGAAGAUCGGUUAUGGGGGGAAAACAAAUGUGUAAGGAGCUGUGCAGGUAUUGACGGUACCGAGUAAAGAAGCCCCGGCUAACUACGUG
Molecule: ribosomal RNA, 497 nt
Filed under: uncultured bacterium
Lineage: Bacteria
Description: partial 16S ribosomal RNA
Rfam family: Bacterial small subunit ribosomal RNA
Source: RNAcentral